UACGGGGGGGGCAAGCGUUGUUCGGAAUUACUGGGCGUAAAGGGCCCGUAGGCGGCCAACUAAGUCAGACGUGAAAUCCCUCGGCUUAACCGGGGAACUGCGUCUGAUACUGGAUGGCUUGAGUUUGGGAGAGGGAUGCGGAAUUCCAGGUGUAGCGGUGAAAUGCGUAGAUAUCUGGCGGAACACCGGUGGCGAAGGCGGCAUCCUGGACCGGUAUUGACGCUGAGGAGCGAAAGCCAGGGGAGCAAACGGG
Molecule: ribosomal RNA, 253 nt
Filed under: uncultured bacterium
Lineage: Bacteria
Description: partial 16S ribosomal RNA
Rfam family: Bacterial small subunit ribosomal RNA
Source: RNAcentral